Molecule: ribosomal RNA, 108 nt
Filed under: Chelonoidis abingdonii (Abingdon island giant tortoise)
Lineage: Eukaryota; Metazoa; Chordata; Testudines; Testudinidae
Source: RNAcentral
GUCUGUGGCCAUACUGCCCUGAAUGUGUCUGAUCCUGGAAGCUAACCAGGGCUGGGCCUGAUUAAUAUGUAUAGAGGAGCUGGUUUGGGAAUACCAGUAUUGUAGGCU